GCCCUUGUGGCCUAAUGGUUAAGGUGCUGAUCUCCGGAGUUAGUGAUUGCGGGUUCAAGUCCCGCCAGGGGCU
This is a non-coding RNA of Yamadazyma jaroonii, 73 nucleotides long. The record is from the annotation of a GenBank genome assembly. NCBI's taxonomy places the organism in Eukaryota, Fungi, Ascomycota, Pichiomycetes, Serinales, Debaryomycetaceae.